GACGAACGCUGGCGGCGUGCUUAACACAUGCAAGUCGAACGGAAAGGCCCUGCUUUUGUGGGGUGCUCGAGUGGCGAACGGGUGAGUAACACGUGAGUAACCUGCCCUUGACUUUGGGAUAACUUCAGGAAACUGGGGCUAAUACCGGAUAGGAGCUCCUGCUGCAUGGUGGGGGUUGGAAAGUUUCGGCGGUUGGGGAUGGACUCGCGGCUUAUCAGCUUGUUGGUGGGGUAGUGGCUUACCAAGGCUUUGACGGGUAGCCGGCCUGAGCGGGUGACCGGCCACAUUGGGACUGCGAUACGGCCCAGACUCCUACGGGAGGCAGCAGUGGGGAAUAUUGCACAAUGGGCGGAAGCCUGAUGCAGCAACGCCGCGUGCGGGAUGACGGCCUUCGGGUUGUAAACCGCUUUCGCCUGUGACGAAGCGUGAGUGACGGUAAUGGGUAAAGAAGCACCGGCUAACUACGUG
This 468-nucleotide ribosomal RNA is filed under the name uncultured bacterium. Its description in RNAcentral is "partial 16S ribosomal RNA". It matches the Rfam family "Bacterial small subunit ribosomal RNA", at positions 28 to 507 of the family's 1533-position model. The record is from RNAcentral.